GANUGACUGGGCGUAAAGCGUGCGCAGGCGGUUAUGUAAGACAGGUGUGAAAUCCCCGGGCUUAACCUGGGAAUGGCAUUUGUGACUGCAUAGCUAGAGUGUGUCAGAGGGGGGUAGAAUUCCACGUGUAGCAGUGAAAUGCGUAGAGAUGUGGAGGAAUACCGAUGGCGAAGGCAGCCCCCUGGGAUAACACUGACGCUCAUGCACGAAAGCGUGGGGAGCAAACAGGAUUAGAUACCCUGGUAGUCCACGCCCUAAACGAUGUCUACUAGUUGUCGGGUCUUAAUUGACUUGGUAACGCAGCUAACGCGUGAAGUAGACCGCCUGGGGAGUACGGUCGCAAGAUUAAAACUCAAAGGAAUUGACAGGG
Molecule: ribosomal RNA, 370 nt
Filed under: Collimonas sp. F11
Lineage: Bacteria; Pseudomonadati; Pseudomonadota; Betaproteobacteria; Burkholderiales; Oxalobacteraceae
Description: bacterial SSU rRNA
Rfam family: Bacterial small subunit ribosomal RNA
Source: RNAcentral